Anthonomus grandis grandis is the source of this 661-nucleotide long non-coding RNA. RefSeq lists it as uncharacterized. The transcript is spliced from 3 exons. The record is from RefSeq and is a predicted model, not a curated record. Lineage: Eukaryota; Metazoa; Arthropoda; Insecta; Coleoptera; Curculionidae.
AAAAUGAAAUAUUUGUUAUUCAAGUAACGUCGUUUGAAAAUGAAAAAGAAAAACUGAAAAGGGGGGAUAAAGCAAGGCAACGACUGGGUUCACGUAAGCCAUUACAUAGCAACUUAGUUCCGUUUAAACAGCAAAUUAUUGUAAUAUACAGCUUUGAAGACGUCUGGCUCACGCGGUCCUUAAAACUUUUUAGACUUUUCGCAAUUUAUUGCGCCGGAAACUCACCGAACGGAACAAAGGUCAACUUUCAUAAAAGUGCGAUAAAUUUUAAUAAGUUAUUUCGCCAAGAUCAAGUCAAGGUCGCGUCGGAGGUCAAGUCAAGAUGACGUUCAAGAGACAUCGAAAGUGAAGACAAGAUGACGUCCAAAAUACGUGAAAGGUCUAAUCAAGGUCACGUCCAAGACACAUCGACGGUUAAGUCAAGAUCACUUCCAGGACACGUUAGAGGUCAAGUCAAGGCGAAGUUGAAGUGUCCAAGUAGAAGAUAGUCCAAGCAAAGUUGGUUGGCAAAAUUCAACAAUUUUGAGCGCAGAAAAAAAUGACAGUUUUCAAAGAUUCCUGAGUAAAAAAUGUCAAAUUUUGACAGGCCAGUGUCAUUGAAAAAUAUUAAUUGAGUGAGACACUUGUAUGAUUAUAAUAAUAAUAAAAUUUAAUAACAUAA